RNAcentral lists this transfer RNA (67 nucleotides) under Fontecilla graphicus. Its description in RNAcentral is "tRNA-Tyr". The record is from RNAcentral. RNAcentral also lists the same sequence under 3 other names. Lineage: Eukaryota; Metazoa; Arthropoda; Insecta; Neuroptera; Ithonidae.
GGUAAAAUGACUGAUUAUAGGUGAUAAACUGUAAAUUUAUUUAUGAGAAUUAUUUUCUCUUUUACCA